AAGUCGUAACAAGGUUUCCGUAGGUGAACCUGCGGAAGGAUCAUUAUCGAGUUUUGAAACAGGUUGUAGCUGGCCUUUCUUUACAGGGAGGCAUGUGCACGCUUGGCUCAUCCACUCUCUACCUCUGUGCAUUUUUUGUAGAAAUGGUUUUGAAGCGGACGCAAGUCUGCAGAUGACCUUUCUAUGUUUUAUUACAAACGCUUCAGUUAUAGAAUGUUUACUUGCGGAUAACGCAUUUAUAUACAACUUUCAGCAACGGAUCUCUUGGCUCUC
RNAcentral lists this unclassified non-coding RNA (273 nucleotides) under fungal sp. Its description in RNAcentral is "partial internal transcribed spacer region". The stretch from base 1 to 46 matches the Rfam family "Eukaryotic small subunit ribosomal RNA", at positions 1786 to 1831 of the family's 1831-position model. The record is from RNAcentral. Lineage: Eukaryota; Fungi.